RNAcentral lists this ribosomal RNA (429 nucleotides) under bacterium. RNAcentral describes it as "partial 16S ribosomal RNA". It matches the Rfam family "Bacterial small subunit ribosomal RNA", at positions 355 to 776 of the family's 1533-position model. The record is from RNAcentral.
UAGGGAAUCUUCGGCAAUGGGGGCAACCCUGACCGAGCAACGCCGCGUGAGUGAAGAAGGUUUUCGGAUCGUAAAGCUCUGUUGUAAGAGAAGAACGUGUGUGAGAGUGGAAAGUUCACACAGUGACGGUAACUUACCAGAAAGGGACGGCUAACUACGUGCCAGCAGCCGCGGUAAUACGUAGGUCCCGAGCGUUGUCCGGAUUUAUUGGGCGUAAAGCGAGCGCAGGCGGUUUAAUAAGUCUGAAGUUAAAGGCAAUGGCUUAACCAUUGUUCGCUUUGGAAACUGUUAAACUUGAGUGCAGAAGGGGAGAGUGGAAUUCCAUGUGUAGCGGUGAAAUGCGUAGAUAUAUGGAGGAACACCGGUGGCGAAAGCGGCUCUCUGGUCUGUAACUGACGCUGAGGCUCGAAAGCGUGGGGAGCAAACAGG